CCCUACGGGGCGCAGCAGUAGGGAAUUUUCGUCAAUGGGCGCAAGCCUGAACGAGCGAUGCCGCGUGAGUGAAGAAGGCCUUCGGGUCGUAAAGCUCUGUUGCGGGGGAAAAAAGGCAGCAUCAGGAAAUGGGUGCUGACUGAUGGUGCCCCGCCAGAAAGUCACGGCUAACUACGUGCCAGCAGCCGCGGUAAUACGUAGGUGGCGAGCGUUAUCCGGAAUGAUUGGGCGUAAAGCGCUCGUAGGCGGUAUGUCAAGUCAAGGGUGAAAUCCCCGCGCUCAACGUGGGAACUGCCUUUGAAACU
RNAcentral lists this ribosomal RNA (305 nucleotides) under uncultured bacterium. RNAcentral's name for it is "bacterial SSU rRNA". It matches the Rfam family "Bacterial small subunit ribosomal RNA", at positions 337 to 634 of the family's 1533-position model. The record is from RNAcentral.